UACAUAGGUGGCAAGCGUUAUCCGGAAUCAUUGGGUUUAAAGGGUCCGUAGGCGGUCUAGUAAGUCAGUGGUGAAAGCCCAUCGCUCAACGGUGGAACGGCCAUUGAUACUGCUAGACUUGAAUUACUAGGAAGUAACUAGAAUAUGUAGUGUAGCGGUGAAAUGCUUAGAUAUUACAUGGAAUACCAAUUGCGAAGGCAGGUUACUACUAGUUGAUUGACGCUGAUGGACGAAAGCGUGGGUAGCGAACAGG
RNAcentral lists this ribosomal RNA (253 nucleotides) under uncultured bacterium. RNAcentral's name for it is "partial 16S ribosomal RNA". It matches the Rfam family "Bacterial small subunit ribosomal RNA", at positions 524 to 776 of the family's 1533-position model. The record is from RNAcentral.